AGUGAACGCUGGCGGCAGGCCUAACACAUGCAAGUCGAACGGCAGCACAGUAAGAGCUUGCCCUUACGGGUGGCGAGUGGCGGACGGGUGAGGAAUACAUCGGAAUCUACUUUUUCGUGGGUGAUAACGUAGGGAAACUUACGCUAAUACCGCAUACGACCUACGGGUGAAAGCAGGGGAUCUUCGGACCUUGCGCGACUGAAUGAGACGAUGUCGGAUUAGCUAGUUGGCGGGGUAACGGCCCACCAAGGCGACGAUACGUAGCUGAUCUGAGAGGAUGAUCAGCCACACUGGAACUGAGACACGGUCCAGACUCCUACGGGAGGCAGCAGUGGGGAAUAUUGAACAAUGGGCGCAAGCCUGAUCCAGCCAUGCCGCGUGGGUGAAGAAGGCCUUCGGGUUGUAAAGCCCUUUUGUUGGGAAAGAAAAACAGCGGGUUAAUCCCCCGAUGUUCUGACGGUACCCAAAGAAUAAGCACCGGCUAACUUCGUG
This 492-nucleotide ribosomal RNA is filed under the name uncultured bacterium. RNAcentral's name for it is "partial 16S ribosomal RNA". It matches the Rfam family "Bacterial small subunit ribosomal RNA", at positions 29 to 507 of the family's 1533-position model. The record is from RNAcentral.